RNAcentral lists this non-coding RNA (29 nucleotides) under Mus musculus (house mouse). The record is from RNAcentral. Lineage: Eukaryota; Metazoa; Chordata; Mammalia; Rodentia; Muridae.
UUGUCAGAGGGUAGUCUAUGAGGGCAUGU